AGAUUAGUGUUGUUGCACUAUCGAUAGUUUCGCUAUCGAUAGUUGACCUUGAAAAACAGUCGAUAGCGCGAACAUCAUAUCGAAAAUAUCGACAUGCUGAAAUACUAUCGAUACUAUCGAUAGUAUCGAUAGCAAAAAUAAGGCGAUUCUAUUGUUAAUUAUCAAUAGUAUCGAUAGUAUCGAUACUGUCGAAGUAUGAUACUAUCGAUACUUUCAAUAGUAUCGAUAGUAUUACCUCAAAAUAGUCGAUACUAUCGAUACUAUCUACGAUAUAUCUACGCGCUUCGAUAGUAUCGAUAGUGUUGAUUUAAAACUAUCGACUAAUUUUCGAUAGUAUCAACGAAAUGAAAGAAGAGAUGUUUAAGAAAUAUGGAUACGCAAAGUACGUUUCAAAUAAGCACAGAUUCGAAACAUGGAGUAAAACGCACUGUGGACAAUUGGACUCAAACGCGAGAAGCCAAUAUAACUAUUCCCGAAAGAGGGUCCGAAAAUAUGCUGUCCUAUUCGACUCGUAACUUACCAUAUGUUAACUACUAUAGCAAUCGACAAAUAUUGGAUCCUCGCAAUGAAGAUAUGGCCCGCAUAUUACUAUAUGAAUUAGAGCGUCUCCCCGAAAACCUUCGUAUCACGGCAUUUACCACGAUGUUCAACGAAAUAAAAAAGCUACAAGGUGAAGUUUCCUCUAAUGAGACCGAUUCAAAAAAGAAUGCAAAAGAAAAUUUAAAAUUAACAAUCAUGAAAAACUUGAAAAGAUUACAUGGCGAUAAUUCAGAAUAAUAAAUACUUUUUGCAACUCAAGUUUUACAUAGUCAAAAGCUCAUGAAGAAAAGACCUUGUUCUGCCUAAAAUAGUUUCUAUUUUGUCAUGCUUUAUGUGUUCGCAACUAUGCAAUUAGUUAUUUAAUUUGAGUGAGUAAAAACUUUUUUUUUUACUUAAGUUUUUUACCAAACUCAAUA
Long non-coding RNA from Aricia agestis (brown argus), 956 nucleotides. RefSeq lists it as uncharacterized. The record is from RefSeq and is a predicted model, not a curated record. The transcript is spliced from 3 exons. Lineage: Eukaryota; Metazoa; Arthropoda; Insecta; Lepidoptera; Lycaenidae.